Molecule: long non-coding RNA, 2223 nt
Organism: Numida meleagris (helmeted guineafowl)
Lineage: Eukaryota; Metazoa; Chordata; Aves; Galliformes; Numididae
Exons: 3
Source: RefSeq, a predicted model, not a curated record
UGAGCCUAUGGAACAGGUUGCCCAGAGAAGUUGUGGAAUGGACCUAUGUCACAAAGUGACAGGGACUCUCCAAACUACCCAUUUUGGGCACCAUUUCUUAGGGCAAAGCUGCCUCAUCCUGGCUUAAUCCUCCAUAUGUAACAAGUGAUUUCCCAAACACUGGUGCUCAGCAGACCAGCCACUAGGACACCAAAGGCAUGCACAGAGAAUAUUCAGCCUUGAAGGGAAGCAGGAAUCAGGAACAUCAGACUGAAUCUUAUUUUUAAGGGUACCUUUCAAAAUUAAUGGUCAUGUUGCAGUGCUGCCUUGUGACAUUCAAGAUCUCACUAUGAAUCCAUCACAAGAUCAAACCACAAUAUAACUAUUGAGUCGCUACGCUGAGACUAACGCGCAAACAUACAUUAAACAAUGAUAUCUGAAGGAGACGGGACCAGAUGUUGCACCUUAGAGCCAUUUUUAAGGGACAGGAUGAGCAGCCUUCCCUUAAACAUGCUGUAGUGCAAGAUCUUCCAGGAGGUGGCAAUGGAUGACACUGAAUGACACCUAUCGCCACUAACACACAGAUGCACAGAGAUGGAUAAUUCCCAAAAGAAGCCAGUGCACAGUGGCAAAGGCCCCUCCUCUGAUUCGAAUUUCAGUGUUAAUAAAACACUUCUUAAAACAAUGCCUAUAGGACCCUAAAUCAUCUUCAAGGUGGCACUGCGAAACACCAGCAUUCCCUCUGCCAAAACUGGCAUUACCAUCAGUGCUGGAAUAGGAGAAAAAUUCUAGCAGUAAGCAUGUUGCAGUGACAACAUGGAUGCUGGAAACAGACGGGAGUCAGUCUGAUAACAAGUAAGGGAAGGCCAAGAUCUUCUUCCACAUGCAUACCAGCAUCCAGCACCUUUUUUGGGGAGCAGAGGCCAGAGGAGAAACAAGUGGCUGUGUUCGCUGGUCCUGCCAACUCCUAAGUGCCUUCCCCUCUACACCUCACCAGACAGGGGAGGAAGAUACCAAGUCGUAAGCAGAAAUCCAGCUCCACGACUGCAGGAUGUCCAGUGCUGGGAUGCUGCAGCAAAUUGCAGAGGAGCAGGAAGAAAGCAGCCUUCAGCAAGGCCUUCCUCUUCCCAGCAACUUGAAGGAGGAGCCCCACUUUGGCUUCAGUCCAGCCCUGCCCAGUGAUAAUUUCUAAUCCAGCAUCCGAGGGAUUACAGCACAUUAGAGAAGACAGAUGGCAACGCAAAGGCAGAGAAGUCUUAUUGCUUGGCUGUAGCCUGUGCUUCCCAAGGUUAUGUGUCACCCAGUGCUGGCUUUGCUCUUGCAAGAGUGGGAUUUUCAAUUUUAUGAGUUUGCAGUGGUCUGGGGCUCAGGUGAAAAUUUAUGCAUGUAUGUGUUGUUUAUUUUAAUCUGCUUUUUUCUUCUUUUUAAGACAGGCCAGAAAUAUUAGGUCUAAGCUUCCUAAUAUUUGCCAAGGACGUUGUGUGUGAGUAAAUGAAACAGAGAUAUCACACGGAGCAAAACUGAGGGCUGAGCCAGAACACUAAGAAUGAUUGAAAAUUUAACUCUCUGGUUUAUGUAAAUGCUUAUUUAAACCACUUACCUGACAAAUGUUUGGCUUUUUCAGAAAGUCAAUGCAAUUUUCAGAUGAAGACAGUGAAACUUCAUGGUACAGCUUUCCGGAAGCCCUCAAGCAAAGCCUGAGAGACAGCUUCCUGAUAUUUUUCAUAUUAAGAAGAAGCAGAGAAAAACUAAGCUACAAAGAUAAACCCUACUCCAGAGAAUUUCAGGUGCUCCUGGAUAAUAACACAAUCAGCAGCAGCACCACAGCAACCUUCACAAACCAGCGAUGGAUCUGAGAAGAGCACAGAAAUGUAAUAAAAGUAACAUCUCUGCUUCUAACAGCAGCACAUUCUUACUUUUCUGAGACACCUCUAAAACAAGGUAAACUGAACAAACAUGAGUCACAGCACUUGGCUCUCUCUAGGCUGUGCAGAUCUUGGCAAAAUCAUUCCCUUUCCUACCCAUAGUCUCACCUGCUGCUAGACAAGGACGUCCCCUUCCUGAGACAUAUUUGAGACCUAUAGAUGAGCAUGUAUUUUGAUAGGUCCACAGCAGGGAAGAACAAGUGGCACCUUCUCAUUUUGCAUGGCAUAGAUACAGCUCCCCUUUCUGCCUGCUCAGUGACACUGUUGGUCAUAUCCAGUACUGGGGUGGCACAGGCUUUCUGCACAACUCCAAGCAUUC